UCCUGUGCCAUGAAGGAUUUGCUGA
Molecule: non-coding RNA, 25 nt
Filed under: Rattus norvegicus (Norway rat)
Lineage: Eukaryota; Metazoa; Chordata; Mammalia; Rodentia; Muridae
Source: RNAcentral